CGCGGCGGCCCCCAAGCCCGCGACAGCCAUCACUCGCGGACCAACCCUCUCCUCGGUUCCGCUCUCCCUGGCGACGGCGCCGAUGGUGCGACGGUGGCGGGCUGAACUGGAGCGCGAUCGGUGGCUCGUGGUGAGUUGUAGUGAGGACGAUGGCGGCGUGGGUGAAGCCCCCUCUUUUUCCCUCAGCUCUCUCAGAAGUUCUCCUCCCCUGUUUUGUGU
This 219-nucleotide long non-coding RNA is filed under the name Arachis ipaensis. RNAcentral describes it as "long non-coding RNA (AIPA_LNC000178)". Lineage: Eukaryota; Viridiplantae; Streptophyta; Magnoliopsida; Fabales; Fabaceae. The record is from RNAcentral.